CGAGAAGACCCCAUGGAACUUUAAACUAGUACCACCCGUCCUACAACUAUACCACACCAACGACACAACAUGACUACUAGUCUUUCGGCUGGGGCGGCCACGGAGAAAAAUAAAACCCCCGAGACGAAAGGGAACACCCCUUAUCCAAGAACCACUAUUCCAAGAAUCAACAGAUGACACCACUGACCCAACACUUGAUCAACGAACCAAGCUACCCUGGGGAUAACAGCGCAAUCCAUUUCAAGAGACCUCAUCGACAAAUGGGCUUACGACCUCGAUGUUGGAUCAGGGUAUCCCGGUGGUGCAGCCGCUACCAAAGGUUCGUUUGUUCAACGAUUAAAACCCU
RNAcentral lists this ribosomal RNA (346 nucleotides) under Stumpffia tetradactyla (Maromandia stump-toed frog). RNAcentral describes it as "partial 16S ribosomal RNA". It matches the Rfam family "Bacterial large subunit ribosomal RNA", at positions 2081 to 2597 of the family's 2925-position model. Lineage: Eukaryota; Metazoa; Chordata; Amphibia; Anura; Microhylidae. The record is from RNAcentral.